RNAcentral lists this long non-coding RNA (1202 nucleotides) under Vulpes vulpes (red fox). RNAcentral describes it as "lncRNA (ENSVVUG00000009208.1)". Lineage: Eukaryota; Metazoa; Chordata; Mammalia; Carnivora; Canidae. The record is from RNAcentral.
AUUAGAGUGUAUAUCAAUCACUUUCAGUGACAGGAUAUAAAUUUAGCCUGUGUACAAAUGGAAUUUCUUUUAUAAAUUGACUUAUACGAACAGUAAAGCUUAUUAUCCCAGUAAAACUGAUUAUUCCAUUAUUCCAAUAAGAAUAGAGAUUUCUUACUUUUUUUUACCAACUGCCUAAAAUAUUCUCAUGAGAGGAGGCCAAGUUAGAGCUGACUCUUUAUAGUCAAAGUGCCUGAGUAUCUAAGGUGUUCCGUAGAAGCUGUAUCUGGAACACAGUCCUAGAGAUUCCAGAAUUUCAAUCCUGUCAUCAGACGCUCUCAAGAAAGUCUUGCCUUGUUUACAAAAUAAUGUUGCUAUGGAAUAAUUUUUCUGCCCUGAAAAUACUGGGCAGAAAUACAGGAGUCGGGCUCCUGAGGAAAGGACCCCAAUGGUGCAGUGAAUUCUGUCCUUAAUUCCAUGACCAAUGGCCCCUGGGUUUCCUGAGGGGGGCAGCACACACAACUGCUGGAAAAGCUGCAAAGGAGAAACGCAUGCGGGAGCUGCGUGGACGUGGACGUGGACGUGGACGAGGACCAGGAAGGAUUUGCAGGCGCACCACUAACAGUGAGGGAAAGGCCCUGGGGCUACUUUUAUGAUAGAAUACUACAUGAAGUGCUGGAGGAUGGGCAGGUCCAGGGUGUGUCACAUGCUGGUGAUGUUGGAACCACUAUGACAGAACCCUUCACAUUGGGUCCCACCAAGAAGAAAGCCUUCAGCAGGAUGGCAGCCAAGCCUUCCUCCGCAUGCCUAGCUCAUCAGGUGAUUUGCCAGAAACCUGGAGAUUUCACACCAAAAUAUCAGGACAUGCCUGGGUGCUCACCGAUUGUGUGACUGAAGGAGAGACCCCAAGUGAGAACAGCAGAAGAACCGUCCAACUGAGCCCUGGUCAACCCUCAAAAGCACAAGAAAUAUUGAAAUGCUGGUCAUUUUAAGCCACUAAGUUAUUGGGGUUAGAGUCAUAUCAAGGAAGUGGAAACAUUCCUCCUUUGGAAAGCAGAAAGGUAAUACUUAACCAAAAUCUGGAAAGGCAUUUUGAAGCAGAAAUCCUAUUCUUCUAAUAGUAUCAUUAAAAAAUUGUUCCAUAAGCAAAAAAUGGUAUGCCUGAAAAGUAUUCAUUGUUGAAUGAUUUGAAAAAAUUACAAAUAAUAAAGUGGAGCAUUAAU